This 252-nucleotide ribosomal RNA is filed under the name uncultured bacterium. Its description in RNAcentral is "partial 16S ribosomal RNA". It matches the Rfam family "Bacterial small subunit ribosomal RNA", at positions 524 to 776 of the family's 1533-position model. The record is from RNAcentral.
UACGUAGGUCCCGAGCGUUGUCCGGAUUUAUUGGGCGUAAAGUGAGCGCAGGUGGUUUAUUAAGUCUGGUGUAAAAGGCAGUGGCUCAACCAUUGUAUGCAUUGGAAACUGGUAGACUUGGGUGCAGGAGAGGAGAGUGGAAUUUCAUGUGUAGCGGUGAAAUGCGUAGAUAUAUGGAGGAACACCGGUGGCGAAAGCGGCUCUCUGGCCUGUAACUGACACUGAGGCUCGAAAGCGUGGGGAGCAAACAGG